RNAcentral lists this ribosomal RNA (483 nucleotides) under uncultured bacterium. Its description in RNAcentral is "partial 16S ribosomal RNA". It matches the Rfam family "Bacterial small subunit ribosomal RNA", at positions 30 to 507 of the family's 1533-position model. The record is from RNAcentral.
AUUGAACGCUGGCGGCAGGCCUAACACAUGCAAGUCGAGCGGAUGAAGGGAGCUUGCUCCUGGAUUCAGCGGCGGACGGGUGAGUAAUGCCUAGGAAUCUGCCUGGUAGUGGGGGAUAACGUCCGGAAACGGGCGCUAAUACCGCAUACGUCCUGAGGGAGAAAGUGGGGGAUCUUCGGACCUCACGCUAUCAGAUGAGCCUAGGUCGGAUUAGCUAGUUGGUGGGGUAAAGGCCUACCAAGGCGACGAUCCGUAACUGGUCUGAGAGGAUGAUCAGUCACACUGGAACUGAGACACGGUCCAGACUCCUACGGGAGGCAGCAGUGGGGAAUAUUGGACAGUGGGCGAAAGCCUGAUCCAGCCAUGCCGCGUGUGUGAAGAAGGUCUUCGGAUUGUAAAGCACUUUAAGUUGGGAGGAAGGGCAGUAAGUUAAUACCUUGCUGUUUUGACGUACCAACAGAAUAAGCACCGGCUAACUUCGUG